RNAcentral lists this ribosomal RNA (334 nucleotides) under uncultured Clostridia bacterium. RNAcentral describes it as "bacterial SSU rRNA". It matches the Rfam family "Bacterial small subunit ribosomal RNA", at positions 1 to 339 of the family's 1533-position model. The record is from RNAcentral. Lineage: Bacteria; Bacillati; Bacillota; Clostridia.
AGUAGUUUGAUCCGUGGCUCGAGGACGACGCUGGCGGCGUGCUUAACACAUGCAAGUCGAGCGGAAACAGGGACUUCGGUUUUUGUUUUAGCGGCGGACGGGUGAGUAACACGUGGGUAACCUACCCUAUACAGGGGGAUAACGUAAAGAAAUUUACGCUAAUACCGCAUAAGCCAACAGGGAGGCAUCUUCUGGUUGGAAAAGCGGAGACGGUAUAGGAUGGGCCCGCGACUGAUUAGCCAGUUGGCGGUGUAAUGGACCACCAAAGCAACGAUCAGUAGCCGGUCUGAGAGGAUGGACGGCCACAUUGGGACUGAGACACGGCCCAGACUCC